AAUUGCAAAACGCCGAACCUUUUUAGGGCGGGGGAGAUUUCUUCUUGGGGUGAAUGACGAAACGUCUAGGGCAACCUUUCUGCCCGAACCCGUCAACUAACCUCGUAGGCGAAAGAAAGGAGAAUU
This 126-nucleotide small RNA is filed under the name Paenalicyclobacillus macrosporangiidus. RNAcentral describes it as "Alicyclobacillus macrosporangiidus c-di-AMP sequence". It matches the Rfam family "c-di-AMP riboswitch aptamer (ydaO/yuaA leader)". Rfam says of the family: This family represents a conserved RNA structure found upstream of the ydaO and yuaA genes in Bacillus subtilis and related genes in other bacteria. The ydaO/yuaA element is thought to act as a genetic "off" switch for the ydaO and yuaA genes in its native state. It is believed that the element may be triggered during osmotic shock leading to activation of ydaO, a predicted amino acid transporter gene, and members of the yuaA-yubG operon which code for KtrA and KtrB K+ transporters. Lineage: Bacteria; Bacillati; Bacillota; Bacilli; Caryophanales; Alicyclobacillaceae. The record is from Rfam by way of RNAcentral.